AGGACGAACGCUGGCGGCGUGCUUAACACAUGCAAGUCGAGCGGUAAGGCCUUUCGGGGUACACGAGCGGCGAACGGGUGAGUAACACGUGGGUGAUCUGCCCUGCACUUCGGGAUAAGCCUGGGAAACUGGGUCUAAUACCGGAUAUGACCUCCUAUCGCAUGGUGGGUGGUGGAAAGAUUUAUCGGUGCAGGAUGGGCCCGCGGCCUAUCAGCUUGUUGGUGGGGUAAUGGCCUACCAAGGCGACGACGGGUAGCCGACCUGAGAGGGUGACCGGCCACACUGGGACUGAGACACGGCCCAGACUCCUACGGGAGGCAGCAGUGGGGAAUAUUGCACAAUGGGCGAAAGCCUGAUGCAGCGACGCCGCGUGAGGGAUGACGGCCUUCGGGUUGUAAACCUCUUCAGCAGGACGAAGCGCAAGUGACGGCACCUGCCAGAAGAAGCACCGGCUAACUACGUACCAGCAGCCGC
This 474-nucleotide ribosomal RNA is filed under the name uncultured soil bacterium. Its description in RNAcentral is "bacterial SSU rRNA". It matches the Rfam family "Bacterial small subunit ribosomal RNA", at positions 26 to 518 of the family's 1533-position model. The record is from RNAcentral.